Long non-coding RNA from Gallus gallus (chicken), 394 nucleotides. Lineage: Eukaryota; Metazoa; Chordata; Aves; Galliformes; Phasianidae. The record is from Ensembl.
CUCAUUAUCACUUUCUAAACAGAAAGGUGGUGGUGACAAGAGAAGGAUGUGGUGACUCAGGAGGCAGCAAUAAGAAAGCCCAGGGUGAAGUUUCACUUUGAUUUCAGCGGAAAAGUUCCCCGUGAAGAUGCUCCCAGUUUGCAGUCGGCAGAGAAGCAGCUCACCUGAGUUUCACGGAGGGGUUUUCUAAGGACACAAGGUUUAUGCAAUUGUUCUGCCUUCCUGCAACCCCUUCCAAGCCUUCUGCCUAAUCUCAGCUUUUUUUCCAGAGUUGUUUUUCUUAAAGCACUUGUCUGAAGAAAAUCCAGGUUGCUGUAUGUGGGACCUAUUCUGCUUGCAGCCUGAGCAUCAGCAUGGGAGGACUGAGCAGUCAGACCCACAUCAGGAGUGAGGA